RNAcentral lists this transfer RNA (68 nucleotides) under Candidatus Gallimonas faecium. It matches the Rfam family "tRNA". From Rfam's summary of the family: Transfer RNA (tRNA) molecules are approximately 80 nucleotides in length. Their secondary structure includes four short double-helical elements and three loops (D, anti-codon, and T loops). Further hydrogen bonds mediate the characteristic L-shaped molecular structure. tRNAs have two regions of fundamental functional importance: the anti-codon, which is responsible for specific mRNA codon recognition, and the 3' end, to which the tRNAs corresponding amino acid is attached (by aminoacyl-tRNA synthetases). tRNAs cope with the degeneracy of the genetic code in two manners: having more than one tRNA (with a specific anti-codon) for a particular amino acid; and 'wobble' base-pairing, i.e. permitting non-standard base-pairing at the 3rd anti-codon position. Lineage: Bacteria; Bacillati; Bacillota; Clostridia. The record is from RNAcentral. RNAcentral also lists the same sequence under 4 other names.
CGGUGUAGCUCAAUUGGCAGAGCAGCUGAUUUGUAAUCAGCCGGUUGCUGGUUCAAUUCCGGUCACCG